Molecule: ribosomal RNA, 400 nt
Filed under: uncultured bacterium
Lineage: Bacteria
Description: bacterial SSU rRNA
Rfam family: Bacterial small subunit ribosomal RNA
Source: RNAcentral
UGGGGAAUCUUGGACAAUGGGCGCAAGCCUGAUCCAGCCAUGCCGCGUGAGUGAAGAAGGUCUUCGGAUUGUAAAGCUCUUUUGCCAGGGACGAUAAUGACGGUACCUGGAGAAUAAGCCCCGGCAAACUUCGUGCCAGCAGCCGCGGUAAUACGAAGGGGGCUAGCGUUGUUCGGAAUUACUGGGCGUAAAGCGCACGUAGGCGGGUCGUUAAGUCAGGGGUGAAAUCCCGGAGCUCAACUCCGGAACUGCCUUUGAUACUGGCGAUCUUGAGAUCGGAAGAGGUGAGUGGAAUUCCCAGUGUAGAGGUGAAAUUCGUAGAUAUUGGGAAGAACACCAGUGGCGAAGGCGGCUCACUGGUCCGAUACUGACGCUGAGGUGCGAAAGCGUGGGGAGCAAA